CAUUAGAUAGCUAAAAGUUAGCCUUGGUCUCUUAAACCAUCUUAUAGUAAUUCACGCCUACUUCUAAUGA
This 70-nucleotide transfer RNA is filed under the name Staphylinidae sp. BMNH 1274240. Its description in RNAcentral is "tRNA-Lys". The record is from RNAcentral. Lineage: Eukaryota; Metazoa; Arthropoda; Insecta; Coleoptera; Staphylinidae.